GGUGCCAGCAGCCGCGGUAAUUCCAGCUCCAAUAGCGUAUAUUAAAGUUGUUGCAGUUAAAAAGCUCGUAGUUGGAUUUCUGUUAAUACCUUAUAUAUAAUAUUUUUUUUUAAAUAUUAUUAUGUAAGAUUAACAUAAUUCAUAUUUUUUAAGACUGAAUUUUUAGUUUUGAUAAUAUGAAAUUUUACUUUGAGAAAAUUAGAGUGCUUAAAGCAGGCUUUUGCCUUGAAUACUCCAGCAUGGAAUAAUAAUAAAAGAUUUUUAUCUUUUUUUUAUUGGUUCUAAGAUAAAAAUAAUGAUUAAUAGGGACAGUUGGGGGCAUUUGUAUUUAACAGUCAGAGGUGAUAUUCUUAGAUUUGUUAAAGACAAACUAAUGCGAAAGCAUUUGCCAAGGAUGUUUUCAUUAAUCAAGAACGAAAGUUAGGGGAUCGAAGACGAUCAGAUACCGUCGUAGUCUUAACCAUAAACUAUGCCAACUAGAGAUUGGAGGUUGUUCCUUACUCCUUC
Molecule: ribosomal RNA, 507 nt
Filed under: Cryptosporidium felis
Lineage: Eukaryota; Apicomplexa; Conoidasida; Eucoccidiorida; Cryptosporidiidae
Description: partial 18S ribosomal RNA
Rfam family: Eukaryotic small subunit ribosomal RNA
Source: RNAcentral